ACUGGGGGGGUCACUGGGGGGGACUGGGAGCACUGGGAGGGACUUGGGGUGUCACUGGGCCAAACUGGGAGUCACUGGGCCGCACUGGGGGGGGCCAGGGCCGACGGCCAUGUUCUCCUCCCCCAGGAGCGUCUCCUGCCCGGGCGCCAUGAUGCUGAUGUCACUUCCUGCCCCCCCUCGGCCCCGCCCCCUCAUGCACUACUUCCUCCUGGGGGCCGAGGUCACUUCCUGUCAUGGAUGACAUCACUUCCUCUGGAGCGCAAGCCGCUUCCUGUCCCAAACGGGGUCACUUCCUGUCCGGGGGGCGGGGUCCUGAGGCCCCACCCCUCCAGCCGGUGCCAACUUCCUGUCUUAAAUGACGUCACUUCCUGUCCAGGGGCUGCAGCCCCACCACCACCACCACCCCCGUCCUGGGGGCACCUGGGUCCCCCGGACGCCUGGGCCCCCCCGGACGCCUGGGCCCCUCCCGGACGCCUGGGCCCUUCCCGGACGCCUGGGCCCCUCCCGGACGCCUGGGUCCCUCCCGGACGCCUGGGCCCCCCCGGACGCCUGGGCCCCUCCUGGACCCCUGGGCCCUUCCCGGACGCCUGGGUCCCUCCCGGACGCCUGGGCCCCUGACCUGUGCCAUGGGGGGGAUGGGCUGGAGCCCCCCAAUAAAGCACUUUUUGCACCCAGAAUUUGGCCCCGGCUCGUUGUCACCUUCGCCCGGACGCCUGGGCCCCUCCCAGAUUCCUGGGCCCCUCCCGGACGCCUGGGUCCCUCCCGGACGCCUGGGCCCCUCCCGGACACCAGGGAGGUGCGUGCACAUACGCGAGGCAGUUUUUCCAAAAAUUGG
RNAcentral lists this long non-coding RNA (835 nucleotides) under Apteryx owenii (little spotted kiwi). Its description in RNAcentral is "lncRNA (ENSAOWG00000014943.1)". Lineage: Eukaryota; Metazoa; Chordata; Aves; Apterygiformes; Apterygidae. The record is from RNAcentral.